GAGUAACGCGUGAGGAACCUGCCUCAAAGAGGGGGACAACAGUUGGAAACGACUGCUAAUACCGCAUAAGCCCACGACCCGGCAUCGGGUAGAGGGAAAAGGAGCAAUCCGCUUUGAGAUGGCCUCGCGUCCGAUUAGCUAGUUGGUGAGGUAACGGCCCACCAAGGCGACGAUCGGUAGCCGGACUGAGAGGUUGAACGGCCACAUUGGGACUGAGACACGGCCCAGACUCCUACGGGAGGCAGCAGUGGGGAAUAUUGCACAAUGGGGGAAACCCUGAUGCAGCGACGCCGCGUGGAGGAAGAAGGUCUUCGGAUUGUAAACUCCUGUUGUUGAGGAAGAUAAUGACGGUACUCAACAAGGAAGUGACGGCUAACUACGUGCCAGCAGCCGCGGUAAAACGUAGGUCACAAGCGUUGUCCGGAAUUACUGGGUGUAAAGGGAGCGCAGGCGGGAAGACAAGUUGGAAGUGAAAUCCAUGGGCUCAACCCAUGAACUGCUUUCAAAACUGUUUUUCUUGAGUAGUGCAGAGGUAGGCGGAAUUCCCGGUGUAGCGGUGGAAUGCGUAGAUAUCGGGAGGAAUACCAGUGGCGAAGGCGGCCUACUGGGCACCAACUGACGCUGAGGCUCGAAAGUGUGGGUAGCAAACAGGAUUAGAUACCCUGGUAGUCCACACUGUAAACGAUGAUUACUAGGUGUUGGAGGAUUGACCCCUUCAGUGCCGCAG
This 727-nucleotide ribosomal RNA is filed under the name uncultured bacterium. Its description in RNAcentral is "bacterial SSU rRNA". It matches the Rfam family "Bacterial small subunit ribosomal RNA", at positions 108 to 851 of the family's 1533-position model. The record is from RNAcentral.